This 253-nucleotide ribosomal RNA is filed under the name uncultured bacterium. RNAcentral's name for it is "partial 16S ribosomal RNA". It matches the Rfam family "Bacterial small subunit ribosomal RNA", at positions 524 to 776 of the family's 1533-position model. RNAcentral also lists the same sequence under 1 other name. The record is from RNAcentral.
UACAGAGGUGGCAAGCGUUGUUCGGAAUUACUGGGCGUAAAGGGCGCGUAGGCGGCCAUCUAAGUCAGACGUGAAAUCCCCCGGCUCAACCUGGGAACUGCGUCUGAUACUGGAAGGCUCGAGUUUGGGAGAGGGAUGUAGAAUUCCAGGUGUAGCGGUGAAAUGCGUAGAUAUCUGGAGGAAUACCGGUGGCGAAGGCGGCAUCCUGGACCAAUACUGACGCUGAGGCGCGAAAGCUAGGGGAGCAAACGGG